RNAcentral lists this long non-coding RNA (339 nucleotides) under Homo sapiens (human). RNAcentral describes it as "HSALNT0231740". The record is from RNAcentral. Lineage: Eukaryota; Metazoa; Chordata; Mammalia; Primates; Hominidae.
UGGAGUGGGUUGCUGGUAGUCCUGAGGUCUCUGCAGGUCUCUGAAACUCUCAGCAGAGAGGGUAGCUCCUUUCUGCAGGUGAAACCCAUAAUUCCAAUUUAAGAAUGAGGAAAACAUCAGAGAGAUUCCAGCAGAGGGAUAUCCCACAAUGCAUCCGCUCAGGACUCCUCAAAACUUUCAAGGUUACCAAAGCAAGGAGAAUCUGACAAAAUGAUCACAGCCCAGAAAAGCCUAUGAAGAUCCGCAAACUACGUGGUAUCUUGGAUGGGACCCUGGAACAGAAAAUAGGCAUUAGGCAAGAAAUCGAGAAAAUCUGAAUGGCACUGGACUUUAGUAAAU